GCCCGUCUGCCAAACGAGCCUUAUUCAUUCGGGACUCGGCCAGAAAAAGGAUACUCCACCCAUGAUCAGAGGUCGCUCCAAGAUACAGGACAUUGACACAAUUGUGAAGGGAAUGAUUAUUGAUUACACUCGAGUGAAGUAUUCAAGAACCCAAAUAAACACACGAGACUCACUGGAGUUACCUCCCGUCGAACGGCUAUGAAAAUCCCACAAACAAAAGCAGAAGAAUCCUCAAAAGAAAGAUACAGACUGAUGAGAGCAAUGUAAAGGAAAGAUAUUCACUUAGGACCAAGGAGACUGGCCAAAUUCUUAAAAGAAACUAUGCUGAUGAGAACAGUUUCAUGGAAAGUCAGCCACUAGUGACAGCAGACCAAACGAAAGACAUUGGUGUGCAAACAGAUUUGGAGACUGUCAGUUCAAGUAUGCAGUGGUGUGACAACAGUCUACAAGAUCAUGCAUACCAUAUACAAGUACCAGUGAAAAUGAAAACGAAAUUGCAUUUCAUUUUAUAUUUGAAUGCACAUUAGGAUGCAAUUAGUACAAAACAUUUCUCAAUUUGGUUUAUUAAAUGCUUGAACAUUUCUCGCAAUCACAUUGGUCGGAUCCUAUACACGUGUCCAGUCCUCGAAAACUCAUGUAGACUUGUUUUUAUGGAAAUUCCCCGCAACCUGUCGCAGCCAUAGUUAGACCGAACCGCGAUCUGUCGAACGACAGCAGAAGAUGGCUGCUGACGACCGGAACGCGAUCUGUCAGACGACAGCAGAAGAUGGCUGCAUCUGAAAAUUUCCAAAAGCUACUCGAAGAUAAAAACCCUGUUAACACAGUGUCCUCCAUGCUUAUUUUAAGGAAAAUAACCUUGACGAUGUCUUCUAAAGCUACGAUGCCGAACUGUUGGAUGCCAAACUGUUGGAUUCAACCCUGGCUAAAUUGUACUCGGAGGCAAAACAUGGA
Mizuhopecten yessoensis (Yesso scallop) is the source of this 951-nucleotide long non-coding RNA. RefSeq lists it as uncharacterized. The transcript is spliced from 5 exons. The record is from RefSeq and is a predicted model, not a curated record. NCBI's taxonomy places the organism in Eukaryota, Metazoa, Mollusca, Bivalvia, Pectinida, Pectinidae.